GACCACUCAAUGUAUGAACACACUAUAAAGUGUCGAGGUCCCACGCCUAAAAGAAAAAUGACAAAAACAAAAUUUGGAGAGCGAGAGUAGAAUCAAACAACCAAAUAUAUCCUUCCCAUGCACAUGAAGGAACGAAAGGAAAGCUGAUAAAAAAAAAUUGAACUCUUAUGUAUUUAGAAAUCGGAUAUGGAAGAAAACAUGAAGAAUUAAUCCAAAAAGAAAUAAAAUUUCUUCCAAAUAUCACUCAGAUGCACUAUUGAUACAAAAAUUUAAUUUAAAAUAAGCCAAAUAUAUAAGGGUGUAGUGCCUCAAAAUAACUUCAGUGAAUUAAUAGAGCGAAAACAAUAUACCCUUAUCGGAUACGUUACAAAUGAUAUGCAUGUUGGCUUCAAAAAUUCACAUAAUUACAAUGUAUUGCCUUAAUCCAAUUGACUGAGAGUAUUGAGUCUCAUGUUUUACAAAGUGUAGGGCUAUAUCAGAGCUAUCUUCUACACAAAAUCACACACAAAGGAAAAAAAUAGUAAGGUUACAAGCAUUACUCUUACAGUAUUGUCCAUAGAACCAGAGUAUAGCCUCUUUUCUCCAACGGUUAAGCAUAUAACAACACUGGUAUGACCUUCUAAAGAUGAGGCUAGCUCAAAAGGGUUUAGGUUCUCAGUACUCCCUUUCCAAGCCAAAAUGUCACCAUCCCAUAAUUAGAAGAAUAAGAAAGGACCUUCUUGUUCCCACUUGUAUUGAUAAAUAUGUCAACAACUUAAAAAAUUAUAUGUGCAAUUAUCUUCGCCCCUGAAAAAAAGCUUGUCCGAUCUUGAAGGGAGUGCAAUCCCAGAAACAGCCUGAGUAUGCCCUUGAGCUUUGCCAAAAUCAAAAAUCAAUUCCCACAAGACCAUGAAUGCAAGAAUGGCACCCAUCUUCUUUAACAUAUUUGUCUGACAUACGCUGCUCACAUGCCUUUUUUAAGCUCUUAAUAGUUUUAUCUUCAGAAGCAUUAUCCUCAACAAUGAGAACUGAUGAAUUAGAGGAUGCUUUAUGUUCGCCAUAUUCGCUGCCUCAAUGCCGGAACUGGAGCCCUCACGAGAGCAUUUAUAUUCAUACCCACCACCUCCAUUACUUGAAGCCAAAGAAUUCCUAGGAUUGGCGCUUUCCUAGUUGGAUCCUUAAUAACAUGAUUGGU
This 1174-nucleotide unclassified non-coding RNA is filed under the name Hevea brasiliensis (rubber tree). Lineage: Eukaryota; Viridiplantae; Streptophyta; Magnoliopsida; Malpighiales; Euphorbiaceae. The record is from RNAcentral.